GGCCUUAUGAUUAUAAUUAAAGGUCUGGCCUGCUCAGUGAGUAUUUAAAUGGCCGCAGUAUUUUGACUGUGCAAAGGUAGCAUAAUCAUUAGUUUCUUAAUUAGGAACUGGCAUGAAUGGUUAGAUGAGAAAAUAGCUGUCUCUUUUAUAAGAAUAGAAUUUUAUUUUUAAGUAAGAAAGCUUAAAUUUAAUUAAAAGACGAGAAGACCCUAUAGAGUUUUAUGGAAUUUAUUAUUUUAAGUUUUUGGAUAUUAUAUUAUAUUUGAUUUAGUAAAUUUUAUUUGAUUGGGGUGAUUAUAAAAUUAAUUAAACUUUUAUUUUAUUAAUACAUUGAUUUGUGGUUAUAUUGAUCCAAUUAUUUUGAUUAAAAGAAUAAAUUACCUUAGGGAUAACAGCGUAAUCUUUUUUUAGAGCUCUAAUCGAGAGAAGGGGUUGCGACCUCGAUGUUGGAUUAAAAUUUACUUUAGGAGCAUAAGCUUAAUAGUUGGGUCUGUUCGC
RNAcentral lists this ribosomal RNA (498 nucleotides) under Ditropidus nr. cupreus BMNH#704416. RNAcentral describes it as "partial 16S ribosomal RNA". It matches the Rfam family "Bacterial large subunit ribosomal RNA", at positions 1860 to 2584 of the family's 2925-position model. The record is from RNAcentral. Lineage: Eukaryota; Metazoa; Arthropoda; Insecta; Coleoptera; Chrysomelidae.